Molecule: microRNA precursor, 127 nt
Filed under: Paramuricea clavata
Lineage: Eukaryota; Metazoa; Cnidaria; Anthozoa; Malacalcyonacea; Plexauridae
Source: RNAcentral
UUUAUACUUCGAAUUUUGGUCGCGUCGAAUGCAAUUAAGACAAUAGAUAAUGAGAUGAUAAACCUCAUUAAGCUUCAUUAUCUAUUGUUUGAAUUGCAUUCGACGCGUCCGAAAUUCGACGUAUAAA